RNAcentral lists this ribosomal RNA (220 nucleotides) under uncultured bacterium. RNAcentral's name for it is "partial 16S ribosomal RNA". It matches the Rfam family "Bacterial small subunit ribosomal RNA", at positions 57 to 305 of the family's 1533-position model. The record is from RNAcentral.
GCAAGUCGAGCGCAUUCUUCGGAGUGAGCGGCGGACGGGUUAGUAACGCGUGGGAACGUGCCCUUCUCUAAGGAAUAGCCACUGGAAACGGUGAGUAAUACCUCAUACGCCCUUCGGGGGAAAGAUUUAUCGGAGAAGGAUCGGCCCGCGUUAGAUUAGAUAGUUGGUGGGGUAAUGGCCUACCAAGGCAACGAUCUAUAGCUGGUCUGAGAGGACGAUC